Non-coding RNA from Triticum aestivum (bread wheat), 127 nucleotides. NCBI's taxonomy places the organism in Eukaryota, Viridiplantae, Streptophyta, Magnoliopsida, Poales, Poaceae. The record is from Rfam.
CUGGUACUCCCUCCAUCCGAAAAAGCUUGUCCCAAGUUUGUCCCUCAAAAUGGAUGUAUCUAUCACUAAUUUGGUAGUAGAUACAUUCAUAUGAGGGACAAGCUUUUUCGGACGGAGUGAGUAGUAC